RNAcentral lists this ribosomal RNA (630 nucleotides) under Armillaria novae-zelandiae. Its description in RNAcentral is "eukaryotic LSU rRNA". The stretch from base 206 to 359 matches the Rfam family "5.8S ribosomal RNA". Lineage: Eukaryota; Fungi; Basidiomycota; Agaricomycetes; Agaricales; Physalacriaceae. The record is from RNAcentral.
AAGGAUCAUUAACGAAUUGUAAAGGAGAUUGAUGCUGGCCAAUUCUUUUUUGGCAUGUGCUCGCCUCUGACAAUCCUUAUCCAUACACCUGUGCACCUCUGGAGGGGUUUUCCGCUUUGCGGAUUUCAUACCCCUCUUUUUACACAAACCCAUUUCUAUAACAUUGAACGUGAAUUAGUGCCGUUAAGGCCUUAAAACAAAAUACAACUUUUAACAACGGAUCUCUUGGCUCUCGCAUCGAUGAAGAACGCAGCGAAUUGCGAUAAGUAAUGUGAAUUGCAGAAUUCAGUGAAUCAUCGAAUCUUUGAACGCACCUUGCGCUCUCUGGUAUUCCGGAGAGCACGCCUGUUCGAGUGUCGUGAAAUUCUCAAGCUUGAUGGGCUUUAUUGUCUGUCACAGUUUGGAUUUGGACUUUUGCUGUGUCAUUACGGCUGGUCUUAAAGGCAUUAGCUGAAUCUUGGUAUGAGAUUGGUUCUACUCAGCGUGAUAAUUAUCUGACCGCUGAGGACAUCUUUUGGGAUGGCCAAACUUGUCCUCGAGUCGCUUCCAAUCCGGUUAACAUUGCUUAAUUGCUUUGUUCCAUUUUUCAACUUUGACCUCGAAUCAGGUGGGACUACCCGCUGAACUUAA